UACGUAGGGUGCGAGCGUUGUCCGGAAUUAUUGGGCGUAAAGCGCACGUAGGCGGAUUUGUCAGUCAGGGGUGAAAUCCCGGGGCUCAACCUCGGAACUGCCUUUGAUACAGCAAGUCUUGAGUUCGAGAGAGGUGGGUGGAAUUCCUAGUGUAGAGGUGAAAUUCGUAGAUAUUAGGAAGAACACCGGUGGCGAAGGCGGCCCACUGGCUCGAUACUGACGCUGAGGUGCGAAAGCGUGGGGAGCAAACAGG
This 253-nucleotide ribosomal RNA is filed under the name uncultured bacterium. RNAcentral describes it as "partial 16S ribosomal RNA". It matches the Rfam family "Bacterial small subunit ribosomal RNA", at positions 524 to 776 of the family's 1533-position model. The record is from RNAcentral.